AGCAGCCGCGGUAAUUCCAGCUCCAAUAGCGUAUAUUAAAGUUGUUGCAGUUAAAAAGCUCGUAGUUGAAUUUCGGGGUCAGUAGGUCGGUCGUGCCACUGGUAUGAACUGGUUUUACUGAUUCCUCCCUCUUGAAGAACUGUAAUGCCAUUAAUUUGGUGUUGCAGGGAAUCAGGACUGUUACUUUGAAAAAAUUUAGAGUGUUUAAAGCAGGCUUUAGCUUGAAUACAUUAGCAUGGAAUAAUGAAAUAGGACGUUUGAUCCUAUUUUGUUGGUUUCUAGGAUUGACGUAAUGAUUAAUAGGGAUAGUUGGGGGCAUUAGUAUUCAAUUGUCAGAGGUGAAAUUCUUGGAUUUAUUGAAGACUAACUACUGCGGAAGCAUUUGCCAAGGAUGUUUUCAUUAAUCAAGAACGAAAGUUAGGGGAUCGAAGACGAUCAGAUACCGUCGUAGUCUUAACCAUAAACUAUGCCGACUAGGGAUCGGAUGAUGUUAAUUUUUUCAAUGACUCAUUCGGCGCCU
Molecule: ribosomal RNA, 520 nt
Filed under: uncultured Glomus
Lineage: Eukaryota; Fungi; Glomeromycota; Glomeromycetes; Glomerales; Glomeraceae
Description: SSU rRNA
Rfam family: Eukaryotic small subunit ribosomal RNA
Source: RNAcentral